GGGCAUAAAAGAUGAAAGUGCACAGAAUACAGAAUCGUGGGUAGAUCAUGAAAAUCACUUUUUCUGUGUUAAUAAUCUUAAAUUGCCUACAAAUUUCUCUGUAAUAUUAAGAAAAAUCCAGUUGCUGCAUUUUAAUGAAGCCUACUAAACAAUAUGUCAAUAAAAAUAUUUUACAAAGAUACAUUAAUUUAAAAGUAUGAGAUUCUAUUCCCUUACAACCAACUAACAGGUCUCUUCAUUAAAGUUUUUAAGUCUAAAGAUUUCUUUUUUAAAAACUUCUCUAGAUGGGAGUCUGCUUUGAAAAUUAUAAGCUGGGUGUAAUGGCACACACCUUUAAUUGCAGCACUUGGGUGAUAAAGGCAGGUGGGUUUCUGUGAGUUCAAGGCCAGCCUGAUCUACAGAGGACAUUCCAGGACAGCCAGAACUACAUACUGAGACCCUGUCUCAAAAACAAAACAAACAAGCAAAAACAUAAAACAAAAACAGAUUAUACAUCUACACUAGAUAUAAUUUGUAUUACUAUAUUUCUUCUUAAAGUUGAUGGUUUCAGGAAGAAACCUAAAAUUUAUAUUAGCUGUGUAUGAUGACGCAUAUCUUUAAUCCCAGCAGUUGAGAGACAGGCAGGCAGAUCCCUGUGAGAUGGAGGCUAGUCUGUUCUACAUAGUGAGUUCC
This 672-nucleotide long non-coding RNA is filed under the name Mus musculus (house mouse). RNAcentral describes it as "long non-coding RNA chr13:81726899-81727571". The record is from RNAcentral. Lineage: Eukaryota; Metazoa; Chordata; Mammalia; Rodentia; Muridae.